This 253-nucleotide ribosomal RNA is filed under the name uncultured bacterium. Its description in RNAcentral is "partial 16S ribosomal RNA". It matches the Rfam family "Bacterial small subunit ribosomal RNA", at positions 524 to 776 of the family's 1533-position model. The record is from RNAcentral.
UACGUAGGGUGCAAGCGUUGUCCGGAAUUAUUGGGCGUAAAGAGCUUGUAGGCGGUUUGUCGCGUCUGCUGUGAAAACUCGGGGCUUAACCCCGGGCCUGCAGUGGGUACGGGCAGACUAGAGUGCGGUAGGGGAGACUGGAAUUCCUGGUGUAGCGGUGAAAUGCGCAGAUAUCAGGAGGAACACCGAUGGCGAAGGCAGGUCUCUGGGCCACUACUGACGCUGAGAAGCGAAAGCAUGGGGAGCGAACAGG